UAAGAAAAGGUGGCCUCUGAAGAUGCUACCGAUUAUGGAUGGACCCGCGUCUGAUUAGCUAGUUGGUGGGGAAAGGCCUACCAAGGCGACGAUCAGUAGCCGGCCUGAGAGGGUGAACGGCCACACUGGGACUGAGACACGGCCCAGACUCCUACGGGAGGCAGCAGUGGGGAGUAUUGCGCAAUGGACGAAAGUCUG
This 198-nucleotide ribosomal RNA is filed under the name uncultured bacterium. RNAcentral's name for it is "partial 16S ribosomal RNA". It matches the Rfam family "Bacterial small subunit ribosomal RNA", at positions 198 to 385 of the family's 1533-position model. The record is from RNAcentral.